Marmota flaviventris (yellow-bellied marmot) is the source of this 677-nucleotide long non-coding RNA. RefSeq lists it as uncharacterized. Lineage: Eukaryota; Metazoa; Chordata; Mammalia; Rodentia; Sciuridae. The record is from RefSeq and is a predicted model, not a curated record.
CUUUAAAAAGACAAAGAAAAUGUCCCACAGUUUAACUGUUUCAAUAAAGAGAAGGCCAAAUAAUAUCUGAACUUCAGAAUUCUCCCCUGAGUCUCUGAAUCAGUUAAGAAAACAGAGGACUCUGUGGCUUUCUGCCUCAAGUUUCAAGAUUCCUUUUCAGGGUUGAAUUGUGGGUGUGCCCAGUAGAAUCAAAACCCUUGGUUCAACCAGAAAGAGAGUGAGAGCGAGAGCAAGACAGAGGAAGAAGGAGAGAGAGAAGAAGAGAAAGAGAGGAAGAGAGGAAGAACCUGUGAAAUUGGGUGGGUUCAUGAAGAUCUGUGAACAAAUAAAAGAACUAAGCCUAGAAGGUGAAGGUGAAGCCCCUGUGCCUGAGAGUAAAGUCCUUAAGAAGACACAGUGAAAAAAAAGAAGCAUCUAUUUUCAAGCCAGUAAGGGAGAUCUCACCAGGAAUCAACCAUGCUCAUACCUUGAUCUUGGACUUUUAGCCUCCAGGUUGAGAAAAUAAAUAUUUAAUUUUCCCAGUUUGUGGUAUAGUGUUAUGGUAGUCUAAGCUGACACUGAGUAGGCAAUUCUUAGAUAUGCCACCAAAGUUUGACCCAUAAAAACAUGCACCAUAUUAUCCAGCUACCCCCCUUCUUUGUAUGUAUCCAAAGAAAAUGAAAUAAACAUACCAAAGA